GAUGAACGCUGGCGGCGUGCCUAAUACAUGCAAGUCGAGCGAACAGACGAGGAGCUUGCUCCUCUGACGUUAGCGGCGGACGGGUGAGUAACACGUGGAUAACCUAUCUAUAAGACUGGGAUAACUUCGGGAAACCGGAUCGAAUACCGGAUAAUAUCUUGAACCGCAUGGUUCAAUAUUUAAAGACGGUUUUGCUGUCGCGUGUAGAUGGAUCCGCGUCGCAUUGGCUAGUAGGUGAGGUAACGGCUUAUCAAGGCGACGAAGCGUAGCCGAGCUGAGAGGGUGAUCGGCCCCACUGGAACUGAGACACGGUCCAGACUACUACGGGAGGCAGCAGUAGGGAAUCUUACGCAAUGCGAGAAAGCCUAACGGAGCAAAGCCGCGUGAGUGAUGAAGGUCUUCGGAUCGUAAAACUCUGUUCUUAGGGAAGAACAAAUGUGUAAGUAACUAUGCACGGCUUGACGGUACCUAAUCAGAAAGCCCCGGCUAACUACGUG
RNAcentral lists this ribosomal RNA (497 nucleotides) under uncultured bacterium. RNAcentral describes it as "partial 16S ribosomal RNA". It matches the Rfam family "Bacterial small subunit ribosomal RNA", at positions 28 to 507 of the family's 1533-position model. The record is from RNAcentral.